CUGUGACCUUGGCAAUUUUGUAAAACCCUCUGAGCCUAGCUUUCUCACAUGUAAAGUGAUGAUAAUGGGUAAUUCCCAUGGCCGUUGUGAGAUUAAAUUAAAAGGGUUAAAUUUUAUUUAUAAAGCACCUAGCAUAUAUUAGACACUCAAUAUUGGGUCACAUCUCUGCAAAUCUGAUGGGAAAUGUCUUCCCUAAGGGAAGAUUUUCUGUUUCUGGAAUUUCACUCCCUAGAACUUUCCAUGCUUGAGUCAUGCAUUAGCUUUUGACAAGUUAUUUUAUUUAACUCUCCCUCUUGGCAAUCGCUACCUGUGAUGACACACAAAGCGGGAAACUACAUCCCAGCAGCUACAAAUAAUAGCAAGCAAUCUUUUGAACUAUUUGCCUUGAGGAAAGGCUAAAAAGUUAUUGAGUCGUGAGUGCAGUUUGCCACGUCACGAUGUAUUUCCCACUGUUUUCUUAGGCUAUUUUCUUUGCCUCCUUUAAGAUAUUUUCUGGAAACUUUUGCUGAACGGUAGCCAAUUGUGAGCGAAAGCUUCUGUAACCAUUCUCUUGCUGAAAGUAACUCGGAGAUCUCAUUUUGCCACAUGGAAGACAGCAGACUCUCUACUUCUCUUCCCUUAGGUCACAAUGGCCUAUAGGAUAUUGCUUUUAGAAGCAAUGCUAUAAGGAACCCUUUUUCUUGCACCAGUAGGAGGUGGAGUCUUGCUCUGUCGCCCAGGCUGGAGUGCAGUGGAGCGUGAUCUUGGCUCACUGCAAGCUCCGCCUCCUGGUUCACGCCAUUCUCCUGCCUCAGCCUGCGGAGUAGCUGGAACUACAGGAAGAAAAAUGGAACUAAAAAGGGAAAACAAUAGCAACAAAGAUCAAAAUAAAUAACAAGGAAGCGGAGAGAAGAAAGAACAUGGUGAAGAGAGUGAAACGCAUUGUCAUUUGGGGUGAAUUGCAGAAAGAAAUAAAUUAUUGUUCUUAUAUAUAAGUGA
Molecule: long non-coding RNA, 978 nt
Filed under: Homo sapiens (human)
Lineage: Eukaryota; Metazoa; Chordata; Mammalia; Primates; Hominidae
Description: HSALNT0373268
Source: RNAcentral